This 253-nucleotide ribosomal RNA is filed under the name uncultured bacterium. RNAcentral's name for it is "partial 16S ribosomal RNA". It matches the Rfam family "Bacterial small subunit ribosomal RNA", at positions 524 to 776 of the family's 1533-position model. The record is from RNAcentral.
UACGUAGGUGGCAAGCGUUAUUCGGAAUUAUUGGGCGUAAAGGGCGCGUAGGCGGCUCAAGCAGCGUGUGGUGAAAGCUCGGGGCUCAACCCCGAGUCGGCCGUGCGAACUCUUGGGCUGGAGUGCUGUAGAGGCGGGCGGAAUUCCGGGUGUAGCGGUGGAAUGCGUAGAGAUCCGGAAGAACACCGGUGGCGAAGGCGGCCCGCUGGGCAGUGACUGACGCUGAGGCGCGACAGCGUGGGGAGCAAACAGG